Molecule: ribosomal RNA, 253 nt
Filed under: uncultured bacterium
Lineage: Bacteria
Description: partial 16S ribosomal RNA
Rfam family: Bacterial small subunit ribosomal RNA
Source: RNAcentral
UACAGAGGUCUCGAGCGUUGUUCGGAUUCAUUGGGCGUAAAGGGUGCGUAGGUGGCGCUGUAAGUCAGGUGUGAAAUUUCGGAGCUUAACUCCGAAACUGCAUUUGAUACUGCGGUGCUUGAGGACUGGAGAGGAGACUGGAAUUUACGGUGUAGCAGUGAAAUGCGUAGAGAUCGUAAGGAAGACCAGUGGCGAAGGCGGGUCUCUGGACAGCUCCUGACACUGAGGCACGAAGGCCAGGGGAGCAAACGGG